This 254-nucleotide ribosomal RNA is filed under the name uncultured bacterium. Its description in RNAcentral is "partial 16S ribosomal RNA". It matches the Rfam family "Bacterial small subunit ribosomal RNA", at positions 524 to 776 of the family's 1533-position model. The record is from RNAcentral.
UACGUAGGGGGCGAGCGUUGUCCGGAUUUAUUGGGCGUAAAGAGCUCGUAGGCGGUUUGGUAAGUCGGGUGUGAAAUCUCCACGCUCAACGUGGAGGGGCCACUCGAUACUGCCAUGACUCGAGUCCGGUAGAGGAGUGUGGAAUUCCCGGUGUAGCGGUGAAAUGCGUAGAGAUCAGGAAGAACAUCGGUGGCGAAGGCGCUCUGCUGGACCAUAACUGACACUCAGGGACGAAAGCUAGGGGAGCGAAUGGG